RNAcentral lists this unclassified non-coding RNA (589 nucleotides) under Hevea brasiliensis (rubber tree). Lineage: Eukaryota; Viridiplantae; Streptophyta; Magnoliopsida; Malpighiales; Euphorbiaceae. The record is from RNAcentral.
GAAAAAAAAUUAGGUUUUCUAUGCAUUUUCCGGCGCCGACGAAGAAGAUACUGGGAAAGUUUGAGGUAGUUUGAACUUUUAACGCUGUUUUCUUUCGACGUUUUGGCUCUCGGAUAUCGUUUUUUGGUGGUCCUGUAGUUUUUCUGAAAAUUUGUAUUUAUAUAUGAGUUGUGGUUCUGAUUGAUGGACGAGAUUUGGGAAAGAGCGGUGGAGACGGCGUUAGACGGCGAGAGAGACUUUGGUUCUGUGAGAACCCUAACGUUGGACGGAGCGGUGAAGUGUAUUCAUGGUAAGUUGGCUCCUCCGUCGAUUUUCGAAAGGUUUCAGAAUCUAGAGCACCUUUCGAUUGCAAACACCGGUGUUACAUCGCUUGAACAGUUUCCUAGGCUUCAGAAUCUACAGAAGUUGAAUUUAUCGGACAAUAGAAUUGCUGGAGGGCUUGAGUUCCUUGUAGAGGCUGGUUUAAAUUCUCUUAGGGACCUUGAUUUGUCUAAUAACCGGAUUCAGGAUAUCGAUGAUCUUCGGCCUUUGGCUGAACUCAGGCUUGUCUCGCUUGAUCUCUAUGAAUGUCCCGUAACGAGGGUUAAGG